The sequence is a ribosomal RNA, 908 nucleotides long. It matches the Rfam family "Bacterial small subunit ribosomal RNA", at positions 61 to 988 of the family's 1533-position model.
GUCGAACGAUGAAGCCCUUCGGGGUGGAUUAGUGGCGAACGGGUGAGUAACACGUGGGCAAUCUGCCCUUCACUCUGGGACAAGCCCUGGAAACGGGGUCUAAUACCGGAUAACACUCUGUCCCGCAUGGGACGGGGUUGAAAGCUCCGGCGGUGAAGGAUGAGCCCGCGGCCUAUCAGCUUGUUGGUGGGGUAAUGGCCUACCAAGGCGACGACGGGUAGCCGGCCUGAGAGGGCGACCGGCCACACUGGGACUGAGACACGGCCCAGACUAAUACGGGAGGCAGCAGUGGGGAAUAUUGCACAAUGGGCGAAAGCCUGAUGCAGCGACGCCGCGUGAGGGAUGACGGCCUUCGGGUUGUAAACCUCUUUCAGCAGGGAAGAAGCGAAAGUGACGGUACCUGCAGAAGAAGCGCCGGCUAACUACGUGCCAGCAGCCGCGGUAAUACGUAGGGCGCAAGCGUUGUCCGGAAUUAUUGGGCGUAAAGAGCUCGUAGGCGGCUUGUCACGUCGGAUGUGAAAGCCCGGGGCUUAACCCCGGGUCUGCAUUCGAUACGGGCUAGCUAGAGUGUGGUAGGGGAGAUCGGAAUUCCUGGUGUAGCGGUGAAAUGCGCAGAUAUCAGGAGGAACACCGGUGGCGAAGGCGGAUCUCUGGGCCAUUACUGACGCUGAGGAGCGAAAGCGUGGGGAGCGAACAGGAUUAGAUACCCUGGUAGUCCACGCCGUAAACGUUGGGAACUAGGUGUUGGCGACAUUCCACGUCGUCGGUGCCGCAGCUAACGCAUUAAGUUCCCGCCUGGGGAGUACGGCCGCAAGGCUAAACUCAAAGGAUUGACGGGGCCCGCACAAGCAGCGGAGCAUGUGGCUUAAUUCGACGCAACGCGAAGAACCUUACCAAGGCUUGACAUA